RNAcentral lists this long non-coding RNA (1118 nucleotides) under Oreochromis niloticus (Nile tilapia). RNAcentral describes it as "lncRNA (ENSONIG00000029812.1)". Lineage: Eukaryota; Metazoa; Chordata; Actinopteri; Cichliformes; Cichlidae. The record is from RNAcentral.
AUGCUUCCCUGCUCACCAUCCGCGCAGAUGGAGGGAUGCGAGGAGGAGGAGGAGAAGGACGCGCACAUGCAAACAGAGUGCAACAGACUGACAGAGGAGAGAGACGAGGCCGAGAGACAACUCAAACACAUCAAGAGAGGUAAGUCCAGCUUGUUUACACCUUCUCAGACUCUCAAACGUACGUGUUUUGAAGCAGGAAAUGAAAUUAAAGAAUCUUUGCUAAACAACAAAGUUAACCUUCAACAGCUAUAACAACCAAUAAUGGAGUGACAGACAUUUAUUCUGCUGACAUUAGUGCUCUAUAGAGGAUGAAUAAUACCAAGUCUAGUGAUCUUCUUAGUUUUAAAAGCAGUCAACUCUGAAAAACCUUCACACAUUUCUCAUCAGAAUCAGCUGAUUGUUUUUUUUUUGUGCAACAACUUGUAUAUCUAAAAUUUUUUUACCUUCAUACUAUGAAUAUUUUCCCAGUUACAGGCCCUAAAAGUACAUGGGUGUGGCUUCGAAUUUUUCUUAAUGGUUUUUAAGCCUUAUAACUUUAUAAAACAGAAGAUAUCUAUACUACAUUUCCUGGUCCUAAAAACAAGCUUUGUACCCUGGAUGUUUGAUCUGUACCCUGAAGAUCCAGCUACUCCUGGCAUUUCCUGUCUGCUCACUUUGACCUUGGGAUAAACUGGUUUAGAGUUUCUGGAUCAGCCCAUAUUCGUUAAUGGUUUCUAACUUACUGCUCAUUUUUCUUCACCUGUCAGAUUUCCAUUUAGUAAAGUCUUCAUCCUCCUAGAGGUUGCCGAAAACUAUAAUUAUCAUUUGAAAGUAUAAAAAAAAUUAAUUGGUGCCAUUAAUCCUUCAGCGCACACAGACAAAUACUUAUGUCCAGAUAUCAUAUACCACAGAGCAGCCUGACACCUCAUCCCAGCGAGCCUUCACUUCCUCCCUCCCUCUUCACGUUAUUCGUCUUUGCCUCUGCUGGCAUGACAUCACCAACAUCUUGUCCUCUGAACAGGUGUGUUUAAGAGGGUGUCACCCGUUUCUAUGGUGACUGUCAGUUUAGUCGGCCAGUUGUAGGGGAGCACUUUUGUUCUGAGGAGUUUAACUCCUGAUUCUAAAACUGAGGAAACGCC